RNAcentral lists this small nuclear RNA (129 nucleotides) under Vigna angularis (adzuki bean). RNAcentral describes it as "U2 spliceosomal RNA". It matches the Rfam family "U2 spliceosomal RNA". From Rfam's summary of the family: U2 is a small nuclear RNA (snRNA) component of the spliceosome (involved in pre-mRNA splicing). Complementary binding between U2 snRNA (in an area lying towards the 5' end but 3' to hairpin I) and the branchpoint sequence (BPS) of the intron results the bulging out of an unpaired adenosine, on the BPS, which initiates a nucleophilic attack at the intronic 5' splice site, thus starting the first of two transesterification reactions that mediate splicing. Lineage: Eukaryota; Viridiplantae; Streptophyta; Magnoliopsida; Fabales; Fabaceae. The record is from Rfam by way of RNAcentral. RNAcentral also lists the same sequence under 1 other name.
AUACCUUUUUCGAUCGUUUGACUAAGAUCAAGUAUAGUAUUUGUUAUUAUCAGUUUAAGUUGUUUAAUAUCUGAUAUGUCAGUCAUUGGUUCACACUAUAUUAAAUUAACUUUUAUGAUAAGAUCCACC